GUGUAAUCAGGGGAAGUCAUUGCAAGCCGAACAGAAGGCUUUGUGUUGAAGGACAGCCAUUGAAGUUCAAAAGGCUUAGCCGAGGUCAAGCCGGCAAUGUCAGAGUCACAGGGAGCUGGGAGGAUCCUGUGGAGGUAGAUGAGAAAGUAUAAAGAAAGAACCCAAACAGGAAGCUGCUGGCUGUCGCUCUUUGGGAUCCUAAAGGUUACUGAGCAUGUGCUGUAAUGGAGAGUACCAACGUAUAAGCUCUAGGUCAUUAUGCCCAAGUUGCACGUGGACCUGUGAGGUGCUAGAAAGGACACCGUGUAUUCUUCACCGUGUAUCUUUACCGUGAGAGAGCACUUCAUCUACGGAAUUCCAGGAAAGCCAUGGAGUGAAGCUAUCUGGUAUCACUAGUCCUGGCUACUAGAUGUCAAAAAUGAGGCUGAUAGAAAUCAUCACCACCACCAUCAUCAUCACCAUCAGCAGCAUCACCAGCAGCAUCAGCAUCACCACCAUCACAACAGACAAGAGGUAGACUCAGGGCAAUGCUUUGAAAUAACCAUUGUCUCCACAGGUCAGAGUAAAAAACCCUCAGAUCUGAGACUUACUCUUUAGUGACAUGGCCUGAGCAAGGGACAGAAAACCCUGAAGUGUUAGUUCAGAUCUUGUAAAUAGAAUCCUGUGAGGAACAGCCUUAAGACUGAAUUGCAAAUCUGGCUCCCUGGUUUGGCACACCUUCAGGUCAUGGUUGGUUUCCUUGACUUCUCUUCAUCCCUAGAUAUCGAUAAAAGCUGUAAAAACAAGUUUCCUAUGAAAGACCAUGGCCUCUAACAUGAAGCCUGUUUGGUUAUAAAGCAAGAUUAAAUGGACUUUUCGACAAAUACU
This is a long non-coding RNA of Mastomys coucha (southern multimammate mouse), 867 nucleotides long. RefSeq lists it as uncharacterized. The record is from RefSeq and is a predicted model, not a curated record. Lineage: Eukaryota; Metazoa; Chordata; Mammalia; Rodentia; Muridae. The transcript has 5 exons.